GACGAACGCUGGCGGCGUGCUUAACACAUGCAAGUCGAACGGAAAGGCCCUGCUUUUGUGGGGUGCUCGAGUGGCGAACGGGUGAGUAACACGUGAGUAACCUGCCCUUGACUUUGGGAUAACUUCAGGAAACUGGGUCUAAUACCGGAUAGGAGCUCCUGCUGCAUGGUGGGGGUUGGAAAGUUUCGGCGGUUGGGGAUGGACUCGCGGCUUAUCAGCUUGUUGGUGGGGUAGUGGCUUACCAAGGCUUUGACGGGUAGCCGGCCUGAGAGGGUGACCGGCCACAUUGGGACUGAGGUACGGCCCAGACUACUACGGGAGGCAGCAGUGGGGAAUAUUGCACAAUGGGCGGAAGCCUGAUGCAGCAACGCCGCGUGCGGGAUGACGGCCUUCGGGUUGUAAACCGCUUUCGCCUGUGACGAAGCGUGAGUGACGGUAAUGGGUAAAGAAGCACCGGCUAACUACGUG
Molecule: ribosomal RNA, 468 nt
Filed under: uncultured bacterium
Lineage: Bacteria
Description: partial 16S ribosomal RNA
Rfam family: Bacterial small subunit ribosomal RNA
Source: RNAcentral